AGCAGCCGCGGUAAUUCCAGCUCCAAUAGCGUAUAUUAAAGUUGUUGCAGUUAAAAAGCUCGUAGUUGAAUUUCGGGAUCAAAGAAUCGGUCAUGCCUUGGUAUGUACUGGUUUUAUUGGUUCUCACCUUCUAAAGAACCAUGAUGUCAUUCAUUUGAUGUUAUGGGGAAUUAGGACUGUUACCUUGAAAAAAUUAGAGUGUUUAAAGCAAGCUUACGCUUGAAUACAUUAGCAUGGAAUAAUGAAAUAGGACAUCAGAUUCUAUUUUGUUGGUUUCUAGGAUCGAUGUAAUGAUUAAUAGGGAUAGUUGGGGGCAUUAGUAUUCAAUUGUCAGAGGUGAAAUUCUUGGAUUUAUUGAAGACUAACUACUGCGAAAGCAUUUGCCAAGGAUGUUUUCGUUAAUCAAGAACGAAAGUUAGGGGAUCGAAGACGAUCAGAUACCGUCGUAGUCUUAACCAUAAACUAUGCCGACUAGGGAUCGGAUGAUGUUAAUUUUUUAAUGACUCAUUCGGCACCUUAC
Molecule: unclassified non-coding RNA, 520 nt
Filed under: uncultured Glomus
Lineage: Eukaryota; Fungi; Glomeromycota; Glomeromycetes; Glomerales; Glomeraceae
Description: SSU rRNA
Rfam family: Eukaryotic small subunit ribosomal RNA
Source: RNAcentral